GUUACUCACGAAAACCCACGUCAAUAGAUCGGUCGUUCCAUUGAUCGAUGAAUGAGGAAAGUUUGUUAGUUCUUUUCCUAAGAUGGUUGAGUUAAACGAUCCUAAAUCUCACGAAAAAUUUUCAGUAGAUGUAAAACUUCUGCUUGUACCAGGAGUUCUCUUAGUCCUUUUAGUUGUGUUAUUUAUUUACCGGAUUUUAAAGGCAAACCAUGACAGGGAAAAAGCCAAGCAAGAAAAGAAAAAAAUGAAACAAGAGAAGAAGAAACAAUAACAGAAGGCCUGGAUAUUAGGAUAACAAAUUAUAUCUUUGGUAAAAGCUUUACAAUCAAGUCUGGAAUUUUCAUCUUUCUACAACGAUUUGGAUUUUGGUGACUUACAUCUCCUCUUGAAUACUGUGGCUAUGUGUCAUGUGAUCUCUACUGGCUGUAAGACUUCGAUAACUACUGUAAAGGAAAUAGAUUUCACCUUUGGAAAUGGAAAUUGCAGUAAUUUUGAGUUAGCUAGAACUCCAAAUAAGCCAAGUUUACAGUGAGGAAGAUCUAUUGUACAAUUAGUUUUCAGAGAACUCAAACAGAAAAAUUUAUAUCAAUAUCUUUAUUGUGCUGUACACCAAAUGAUUUAUUUCAACAAAUCACAAAGUAAAAUAUCUCCAUUGACAAUCUAAA
Stylophora pistillata is the source of this 665-nucleotide long non-coding RNA. RefSeq lists it as uncharacterized. The record is from RefSeq and is a predicted model, not a curated record. NCBI's taxonomy places the organism in Eukaryota, Metazoa, Cnidaria, Anthozoa, Scleractinia, Pocilloporidae.